UACGGAGGGGGUUAGCGUUGUUCGGAAUUACUGGGCGUAAAGCGCACGUAGGCGGACCAAUCAGUUGGGGGUGAAAUCCCGGGGCUCAACCCCGGAACUGCCUCCAAAACUCCCAGUCUUGAGUUCGAGAGAGGUGAGUGGAACUCCGAGUGUAGAGGUGAAAUUCGUAGAUAUUCGGAAGAACACCAGUGGCGAAGGCGGCUCACUGGCUCGAUACUGACGCUGAGGUGCGAAAGUGUGGGGAGCAAACAGG
RNAcentral lists this ribosomal RNA (253 nucleotides) under uncultured bacterium. RNAcentral's name for it is "partial 16S ribosomal RNA". It matches the Rfam family "Bacterial small subunit ribosomal RNA", at positions 524 to 776 of the family's 1533-position model. The record is from RNAcentral.